This is a long non-coding RNA of Falco peregrinus (peregrine falcon), 1128 nucleotides long. RefSeq lists it as uncharacterized. The record is from RefSeq and is a predicted model, not a curated record. The transcript has 2 exons. NCBI's taxonomy places the organism in Eukaryota, Metazoa, Chordata, Aves, Falconiformes, Falconidae.
UUUGCUUUUAAACUCUUAUUUGUGCAAGAGGAGUUGCUACUAUCUGAAUAUUUAGCUGAAGGCUUUUAGAAAGCCUGCUGCUCAAUAGUGAAAGGUCUUGGAGUUCUUAAGGCCAUGUGGACCCAGCCUGGCCUCUGUAUACUAAACUCUUAUUAAACUUCAGCAGAAGACAUCCUCUGGAGUCUGAUAGUUUUGCCCAAGAGCAUCUCUGCAUUGAUGAGAGUUGUGUACAGGCGAGGUUCUAGCUGCCGGCUGCUUGUUCCAGCAACGCGAAACCCAUGUGAAACAGUAACUGCAUAGAGGGCUCCAUGACCACGUACACUGAACUCCGCUGGAUCUCUUAUCAAGUCUGCAGCUCCCCGCAGCCUCAGCUUUCAUGCUUCUUAUUCACCCUUGAUUUCUUCGUUAAACUUGAUACGGUUACAAAAGUACGAUCUCUUGCAGCCCUUAGGAUAGGAACAAGGUAAAGAUCAGCAGAAGACCUGGGGUCUGCCAAGGCCUGCUAUUGCGCUUCUGUAAAUCUGGACAGUUUACAGUGCUUUAAAUUAGGUGCUGCCUGGUCCGCGAAGAGUUUUUUGGAAGGACCAGGAAGUGCCGUUACAACAUUUUGUUAAUGUUUCGUUCUGUCAUGGUCUCUCUAAAUCAUUCCUCUGUUGUCUUUCCCCAGGAGAAAAUUAGCUUUUUUGAAGUGUUUGAGCUGUUGUUCUUCUCAGAAAAAACAGGAAAUAAUACUAAUAUGUUAAUCUUUAACACGUAAUGGGAUGUGCUAGAGUGAAAGGUGGUGUGACUCUUCAAAGUGCUUGGGGAUCUUGCAGACUUUGGCCUGAAAUGAUGUGGUGUGGGAAGCCUGACUCUAUAUCCAGCCUGGGUAAAGUGAAGUAAGAGUAGAUACUUUCCAAGUUUUAUUGGUUUUCUACACAAUUUCUAAUAGCUUUGAUGAUACAUGAAUAGUGUCAGAUAAUUUUCUAAUGUAAAACUCCCAAUUUAAUGUCUGUACAUACAUUUCGAGUGUAAGCACCCGUUGCUACUUGCCUUUUUGUAUGCUAUUGGGAUGUGCAUACUGUGUAUACGUAACUGCAUUGAGUUGUGCACCCUGCACAAAAGCCUGAAUAAAUGGGUUUUAACGUU